Molecule: ribosomal RNA, 498 nt
Filed under: uncultured bacterium
Lineage: Bacteria
Description: partial 16S ribosomal RNA
Rfam family: Bacterial small subunit ribosomal RNA
Source: RNAcentral
GACGAACGCUGGCGGCGUGCCUAAUACAUGCAAGUCGAGCGGACGAAUCGAAAGCUUGCUCUUGCUUCGUCAGCGGCGGACGGGUGAGUAACACGUGGGCAACAUGCCCUGUAGACGGGGAUACUACCGCGAAAUCGGUGCUAAUACCGGAUAAUACGAAAUGUUGCAUGACGUUCCGUUGAAAUUCGGCGCAAGCUGCCGUUACAGGAUGGCCCCGCGGCGCAUUAGCUAGUUGGUGAGGUAACGGCUCACCAAGGCGACGAUACGUAGCCGACCAGAGGGGGAGAUUGGCCACCUUGGGACUGAGCCUCGGCCCACACUCUGACAGGGAGCAACGGUAGGGAAUCUUCCGCAAUGCACGAGAGGCUGACGGAGCAACGCCGCGUGAGCGAAGAAGGCCUUCGGGUCGUAGAGCUCUGUUGUUAGGGAAGAACAAGUAACGCAGUAACUGGCGUUACCGUGACAGUACCUAACGAGAAAGCCACGGCUAACUACGUG